AAGGAAUAUUGGUCAAUGGAGGGAACUCUGAACCAGCCAUGCCGCGUGCAGGAUGACUGCCCUAUGGGUUGUAAACUGCUUUUGUACGGGAAUAAACCCCUCUACGUGUAGGGGGCUGAAUGUACCGUAAGAAUAAGGAUCGGCUAACUCCGUGCCAGCAGCCGCGGUAAUACGGAGGAUCCGAGCGUUAUCCGGAUUUAUUGGGUUUAAAGGGUGCGUAGGCGGCCUUAUAAGUCAGGGGUGAAAUACGGCAGCUCAACUGUCGCAGUGCCUUUGAUACUGUAGGGCUUGAAUCUAUUUGAAGUGGGCGGAAUAAGACAAGUAGCGGUGAAAUGCAUAGAUAUGUCUUAGAACUCCGAUUGCGAAGGCAGCUCACUAAGUUAGUAUUGACGCUGAUGCACGAAAGCGUGGGGAUCGAAC
This 420-nucleotide ribosomal RNA is filed under the name uncultured bacterium. Its description in RNAcentral is "bacterial SSU rRNA". It matches the Rfam family "Bacterial small subunit ribosomal RNA", at positions 356 to 773 of the family's 1533-position model. The record is from RNAcentral.